Molecule: long non-coding RNA, 3632 nt
Organism: Serinus canaria (Common canary)
Lineage: Eukaryota; Metazoa; Chordata; Aves; Passeriformes; Fringillidae
Exons: 3
Source: RefSeq, a predicted model, not a curated record
GGAAAAGCUAAUUUUCCCCUUUUCUAGUUAUUUUAAAAAGCUCCUGGUUUUGGAAGCUGGGGGAGGGGAAUCCAGGAGCUGAGCUCCUCCAACCUUUCAUCUUCCAGAGGAGCCUGUUUAAAUAGCAAAUCAUUGGUUUGUGUGGAAGACUUGAAAAAAGUAAGGCGGGUUGAGGUUGGCCCAGCUGCCACAUGCCCACCCAACUGCUCUCACUCCACUCCAGAACUCAGGAGAAAGUAAAUGUCUUAUGUGGGUCAGGAUAAUGUACCAUAGAAUCACUAAGUUUGGAGAACACCUCUAAGGUCACCCAGUCCAAUAGUGGCUGCCAAGCCCACCAUUAACCAUGUCCACAAGUGCCACAGCUCCAUGUCUUUUAAAUGCCGCCACAGAUGGGGAUGCCACCACUGCCCAGAGCAGAUCAACAACGUCCAUAGAUAAAACCAAGGGCGUCGUGUACUGGUUACUGCCAUAGGCAAAACAGGCUCCGCUUGGGGAAAAUUAGUUGAACUUACUGCCAAAUAGAAGAUGAAUGGUGAGAGGCAAAGACCGCCAAAAAAACCGCCAACUCCCCCUCCCCGCAAAAAACCGGAAAAAAGCCCCCCAAACCCCAAAAUGCUUUCUCCCCGACUUUUUUUCUGUUGUCUUCAGUCCUUCACCACUAACUGCUGCCUCCUCCCUCCUUCAGGCCGGCCACGGCUCCUCCGACGGUUUCGGCGCCCUCAGCUGCCCAGGGGCGGCGGGAACCGGCGGUGCCCGGCACAGGGCAGCCUCUCCCUCACGGACACUCCCUCCCCUCAGAGACCCCCCCACCACAGGUUCCUCCCUUCAGCCCCCCUCACAGAGAUUCUCUUCAAAGACCCCCUCACAGAGAUCACCCCCCUACUGUUCCCUCAGAUUCCCCUCAGAGACCCCCUCACAGUGACACUCCCCCAGCUCCCUCCCUUUAGAGGCCCCUCACUGAGACCCCCUCAAAGAGACCCCCCACAGCUCCCUCCCCUCAGAGAGGCCCCUCUCCUAGAGACCCCCUAAUAGAGAUUGCUUUUAAAGACCCCCUCACAGAGAUCUGCCCACUGUUCCCUCCCCUCAGAGAUUCUCCUCAGAGACCCCCUCACAGAGAUUCCCCUCAUAGAGACCCCCCCAGCUCCUUCCCCUCAGAGACCGCCUCAGAGGGACCCCCUCACAGAAAUCCCCACACAGUUGAUUCCCCUCAGAGACCCCCUCACAGAAAUCCCCACACAGUUGAUUCCCCUCAGAGACCCCUCCACGGCUCCCUCCCCACCACCCCCUGCCAGCACUGGGCACCGGCACUUGACACGGACAGGAGCCGAAAGAUGUGAUUCACAAUCGAAAAUCCUUGAGGGACUUGGACGUGGGCCCAGAGCAAUUGGGAAGACAAAUACUAGUGUGAGAGCAGUGUUGGAAGCAAUUCUGGCAUCACGACUCCCUGGAGCCUGCAAAACUCAUGUAGAUUUGACUUCUUCAGAGGAAUUUGGUGUGAUACCUUACAAUUUGGCUGAGGCGGGCAUUUUUCAUACAAAAUCAGGUGAUCUGCCUUCCCUGCUAUCCUUGCACUUCUAGGGAGUAGAGUCUACAAGAAGACUGGAGGUCCCUGUUGCCAGAGCACAGUGGGGCUGUGCAUGACCAAGGGACAGUUUAAUAAACAAGGAGGGUGUUUAUGGACUUUGAUACAGAGGAAGAUGAAGAAUAUCAAUCCUUAAUGGUGUUGAUCAGCUACUACCUGAAUAUUGGACAAAUGCUUGCAGACUGCAGUGCUGCCUCUGGAAAAUAAGGUAAGAGGAGAGGAGUGAACUGUAGUGGUUUUCAUGGAAAUGUCCUUGUGGGUUGUGAGUGCUCAGCUUACCAAAGGUGGGUGUGCUGUGAUCAGCCCUUCCCUGCUUCAGACUGCAGGAGUGCCAUCACUGAAGCUACCAAAUACAAACACAGUACCCCAAGCACAACUAAUGAGUGAAACUCUGCCAAGUACAUGCUCAGUCUUAAAAAAAACCCAAACAACUAAAUGAAAAUAUAUUCUUGGAGCCUGUGAAGCUAUUGUGAACUUUUCUCCUGCUGCUUGUUGUGAAGCCUGCAUGCUCAGUGGUGCAGUGACUGAAAUGUGAUGUUGUACCAGGUGACAAUCUAAAGAACUAUGGGAAUUGCUGGAAUAAGGCAAAAGUGGUUGGACUUACAUAGCUCUGUCCGCAUCAGUUGUUUACUGUGCCUUCAGAAAGCUUAAAGGUUUUAUAUGGGAGCUUUCUUCUGGUGUGGCUGCCCUGGCUUGUGCCUCCAUCCUUGCCAUUAACUGCUCCUGUGAGUUGUUACUCAACUACCUUGAAGACUUACUUUUUGUAAAAUUUGUUUUCGUUUGCAUGUUGGUAUGUUGCCCCAACCCGUACUUUGUCCUGUGAUCUGUCAACUUCUUGUUCUUUGAUGACAGUAGUUGAGAGCCUUGUGUAAGAACAGACAAGUCAGAGGGAAGGAAGGUGAGAGAAGUGACUCUGAGCACUUGACCAGCAAUAGGAAAGCUGUGGCUCCAAUGCAGGCUGAUGCAGCCUUCCCCUCAAGUCAGGCUGAAAAAGGCAGGGGAGGCUUCAACAACGAGGUGGAGAUGGAUCUGUUUCUGAAAGAUGAAUCUUGCUAGUCUUCUUCUACACAGGUUUCUCUGAAGUAAUUCCCUGCUGGUUUGAAAUUUAAAAUGCUUUACCUCAAAACCAAUAAUUACUCUGUGAUUGUCCUGUGAGAUGUGGCAAAGGAGAAAACAGCACAUAAAUUCAAGCACUGCAGUUAUCCUUUCAGAGUCUGCAUGUUAACUGCACAUAGCUGCCUGUGCAGGAGGAGUGGGAUAAGCAAUGCUGCUGAGCAGGCUGGUAAUCCUCCCUGAGGCACCCAGUUUGUCUUAAAAGCACUGUGAUAAAUAAUCUAAUGAAUUGUAGUGAUGAAGAGAAAUUUCUCCUAGGUAGAUAAUAAUAUGCAAUAAGUGCCUAAACACUUGUGAAUCAGUUAGAAUAAAAAUAAUUACUCUAUUAGUAUACCUCAUAGGCAUAAUAAAACCUGCCAAACAUCAUUACUAGGGAGCAUGUGGUAACAACAUGAAACUGAUACAAUAUUCAACAGCAGCACUGUAGGAGCUGAAAUCCCUCUCCUUCCAUGGAGGAUGUCAGUAAGAACAGAAGUUGGGUUUAGGUGCAUUCCACCUGACUGCUUGUUCCCAAAAAUAAUUAUUUGUAAUCUUUCAUAGUGUUUAGAGGGAAAGGAAGACACCAAUUAGAUAAAUCACUUAAUUUCUAAAGGCUCUGAGACAACUGGUUUAUGACAUUUUUUUCCAUUGCCUAUUAGAUGACAUAGGGGCUAUAUCCUGCAAAAUGCCUUCUUGUCUGACUAAUCUUUUAAGGCUGUAAUUUGGCUCGCCUUGAAUGUCGCAUUCCAGGAGUUUUAAAGGGAAAACGAUGAUGGCACUAAGGGAUGCGGCUCUUGGGCACGGACGGGACUCGGGUAGCUCUGGCUGUCGGAGGUGCCGUGUCUCCCGACAGCGGGUGGGUAAAGCGCUGCUGCGCCAGGGAUGGCAUCAUGGAUCCCACUCCGGCUUGCUCUCUCCUCUCCCUGAGCGCGGGGCGGGCAGCGGCGCGCACUGAGGC